This 505-nucleotide ribosomal RNA is filed under the name uncultured bacterium. RNAcentral describes it as "bacterial SSU rRNA". It matches the Rfam family "Bacterial small subunit ribosomal RNA", at positions 30 to 526 of the family's 1533-position model. The record is from RNAcentral.
AUUGAACGCUGGCGGCAUGCCUUACACAUGCAAGUCGAACGGCAGCACGGGUGCUUGCACCUGGUGGCGAGUGGCGAACGGGUGAGUAAUACAUCGGAACAUGUCCUGUAGUGGGGGAUAGCCCGGCGAAAGCCGGAUUAAUACCGCAUACGAUCUACGGAUGAAAGCGGGGGACCUUCGGGCCUCGCGCUAUAGGGUUGGCCGAUGGCUGAUUAGCUAGUUGGUGGGGUAAAGGCCUACCAAGGCGACGAUCAGUAGCUGGUCUGAGAGGACGACCAGCCACACUGGGACUGAGACACGGCCCAGACUCCUACGGGAGGCAGCAGUGGGGAAUUUUGGACAAUGGGCGAAAGCCUGAUCCAGCAAUGCCGCGUGUGUGAAGAAGGCCUUCGGGUUGUAAAGCACUUUUGUCCGGAAAGAAAUCCUUGGCUCUAAUACAGUCGGGGGAUGACGGUACCGGAAGAAUAAGCACCGGCUAACUACGUGCCAGCAGCCGCCGUAACAC